AGAACGCAUGCUCUAACUGCUGCCAUGGCAACGAAUGGCCACCGGAAAGGGAAGUCGUGGAAACUAAGUGGCUGCCAACCGGCCUGGCCCUGAACAUGUGAACUUAGCGACGUUGACUCUGAAUGCAAGACACAAGGGAUGCAGUUGAAAGGAAGAAGUUGAUGGGGUUGUAUCGACUUGGAAUGACCACAGAGUCCAUCAAGUCCACAACUCUCGUUCACCUCAUGGACGUCCCUCCAUAUUACAUGCAGUCCCUCAGCUGUACGGAGGCAGAGACUAUUUGCAGAAUGUGGACCUGGAGAAAGUUGAAGUCUGCCUUGAAGAGUGUUUACCCGAACUCCUUCAAAAGAUGGAAGAUUUGAAGAGAUCAGUAGUAACCCAUUCCCCUGCUAUCAGUAAGGAAAGACAGGAACCCCUUACAGAGUUCAUAUCAACACCGCCAGUACAUGUUCGAGCACAGAACACUCUUUGCUCAUCACAGUCUUUGGCAGUGACGCCCACUUCAUCUCGGCCUGCGACCGAGUUUGAGAAGUGCUUUCGCAAUUAUUUUCAGUACCAUCUCACUUCAAGUUAGAUUGAUUGCUGAAGAAUUGAUAAUUAUUAAUAUGUGCAGCACCUAGCUGCUUGGCCUCCAGUGUGGCAAGAGUGCUAACAACCGACAAUUCGAUUCUAAGGUCGGAAAUUUCCACUCUGUGCCCCUCUUUCUCAUCUCAUCUCAUUAUCUCUAGCCGCUUUAUCCUUCUACAGGGUCGCAGGCAAGCUGGAGCCUAUCCCAGCUGACUACGGGCGAAAGGCAGGGUACACCCUGGACAAGUCGCCAGGUCAUCACAGGGCUGACACAUAGACACAGACAACCAUUCACACCUACGGUCAAUUUAGAGUCACCAGUUAACCUAACCUGCAUGUCUUUGGACUGUGGGGGAAACCGGAGCACCCGGAGGAAACCCACGCGGACACGAGGAGAACAUGCAAACUCCGCACAGAAAGGCUCUCGCCGGCCACGGGGCUUGAACCCAGGACCUUCUUGCUGUGAGGCGACAGCGCUAACCACUACAGCACCGUGCCGCCGCCCCUCUUUCUAGAUCUCCCAAUUAUGAUUGCAUUACCAUUAUGUUGACCUUGGAUUUGGGGUGUCUGUAAAUGCUUCAGAUUUACAGAAUGUGAGCAGAGUAGAUUUAAGGAAAACUACAUAUACCAUAUGUGAAACAGUGUUUUCCUGAACUGAGCUGGCUGAUUGUAGUGUAACGGGGAAGAAGUCCAAUGCCUUCAAGGAUCAAACUGAAAGACCCAUGUUGGAUGAAAACAAAGUUUCUGUUGUCAUAUACUUUGUGAAGAGACUUCAUCCAGGGAGUGAAGAAAAGAUGAUUAAGAAAACCAUUGGUGCAAAACUCAACAUUUGUCAAAAACUGGAGCGAAGAAAAAUACAGAACACGACUUACUUCAGAACAAUUUUGCUAUGUUUUAAUCCAACCAUUCCUUUAAUUUUUGAUCCUUUUUGUAUAGCUGUUUUAAAACUUUUAUGAAACAUUUUCUAUUUUCCUGUUGACUAUAAAUAAAUAUUCAGAUUGCUUUUAUCA
Long non-coding RNA from Neoarius graeffei (lesser salmon catfish), 1577 nucleotides. RefSeq lists it as uncharacterized. NCBI's taxonomy places the organism in Eukaryota, Metazoa, Chordata, Actinopteri, Siluriformes, Ariidae. The transcript has 5 exons. The record is from RefSeq and is a predicted model, not a curated record.